Molecule: transfer RNA, 71 nt
Filed under: Bos taurus (domestic cattle)
Lineage: Eukaryota; Metazoa; Chordata; Mammalia; Artiodactyla; Bovidae
Also listed under: 2 other names
Rfam family: tRNA
About the family: Transfer RNA (tRNA) molecules are approximately 80 nucleotides in length. Their secondary structure includes four short double-helical elements and three loops (D, anti-codon, and T loops). Further hydrogen bonds mediate the characteristic L-shaped molecular structure. tRNAs have two regions of fundamental functional importance: the anti-codon, which is responsible for specific mRNA codon recognition, and the 3' end, to which the tRNAs corresponding amino acid is attached (by aminoacyl-tRNA synthetases). tRNAs cope with the degeneracy of the genetic code in two manners: having more than one tRNA (with a specific anti-codon) for a particular amino acid; and 'wobble' base-pairing, i.e. permitting non-standard base-pairing at the 3rd anti-codon position.
Source: Rfam by way of RNAcentral
UCCUUGAUGGCUCAGCGGUAAAGAAUCUGCCUGCAAUGCAGGAGACCCGGGUUUGAUCCCUGGGUUGGGAA